GUUGGUUCAAUGGUGUACAAAGAUGCUCAGAAUACAAGAAAAAUGGAGUUAAAAUAAUCAAUUCAAAUGUGCUAUUUUCUUAAUUCCCAACAUUUCAUGAGGAUUACUUUGUGUGUUGCCGGUCGACCUGGAUUACACUGAAAGAGGAAGCAGCAGCGCUGGGCCAUGGCUGGCAAGAGGAGAAUUCAGCAGGGUAGCUGGUGACAUCUGAGAGUGGGGAACCAAAACUGGCACCAAAAGAGAUAUCUGCAGCCAGAAAUGAGCAGCAGGUCAACUUUAUUUUUAUCUUAACCAGACAGACUCUACAUGCCAUAAUGAACAGCAACAAGCGAGCUCAUAGCCAUGAACGCAGGCUCAGUUAGGACGGAGAGGUCUUCACUUCUUUUCAUUCCAUGCUGUAUCAAUGUCCAUUGCAGAGCAGCAGAAGGAACCUUUAAAAUGAAGAUCAUGCUGUGCCUGGUAGGAUGCACCUGUGAUUCGAGCACUCCUGCAGGCUAAGGCAGGAAGAUCUCAAGUGCAAGCAUGGGCAAUUUAGCCAAUUGUGAGAUGAAUUCAGUGAAUGACAUGGACUAUGGAGAAAAUAAAAAGGAAUGGGACCCAAAACGCCAUUAUUUAGACAUAGUAUCAAG
RNAcentral lists this long non-coding RNA (629 nucleotides) under Heterocephalus glaber (naked mole-rat). Its description in RNAcentral is "lncRNA (ENSHGLG00100037875.1)". Lineage: Eukaryota; Metazoa; Chordata; Mammalia; Rodentia; Bathyergidae. The record is from RNAcentral.